GAUGAUAACUAGCUGUCCGGGCUCAUAGAGCUUGGUGGCGCAGCUAACGCAUUAAGUUAUCCGCCUGGGGAGUACAGUCGCAAGAUUAAAACUCAAAGGAAUUGACGGGGGCCUGCACAAGCGGUGGAGCAUGUGGUCUAAUUCGAAGCAACGCGCAGAACCUUACCAGCCUUUGACAUCCUUCGACGGUUUCUGGAGACAGAUUCCUUCCUUCGGGACGAAGUGACAGGUGCUGCAUGGCUGUCGUCAGCUCGUGUCGUGAGAUGUUGGGUUAAGUCCCGCAACGAGCGCAACCCUCAUCCUUAGUUGCCAUCAUUUAGUUGGGCACUUUAAGGAAACUGCCGGUGAUAAGCCGGAGGAAGGUGGGGAUGACGUCAAGUCCUCAUGGCCCUUACAGGCUGGGCUACACACGUGCUACAAUGGCAUCUACAGUGAGCAGCGAUCCCGCGAGGGUUAGCUAAUCUCCAAAAGAUGUCUCAGUUCGGAUUGUUCUCUGCAACUCGAGAGCAUGAAGGCGGAAUCGCUAGUAAUCGCGGAUCAGCAUGCCGCGGUGAUACGUUCCCAGGCCUUGUACUCACCGCCCGU
This 585-nucleotide ribosomal RNA is filed under the name uncultured bacterium. Its description in RNAcentral is "bacterial SSU rRNA". It matches the Rfam family "Bacterial small subunit ribosomal RNA", at positions 808 to 1397 of the family's 1533-position model. The record is from RNAcentral.